AUUGAACGCUGGCGGAAUGCUUUACACAUGCAAGUCGAGCGGCAGCGCGGGGGCAACCCUGGCGGCGAGCGGCGAACGGGUGAGUAACAUAUCGGAACGUACCCAGUCGUGGGGGAUAACUAUCCGAAAGGAUAGCUAAUACCGCAUACGUCCUGAGGGAGAAAGCAGGGGAUCGCAAGACCUUGCGCUGAUUGAGCGGCCGAUAUCAGAUUAGCUAGUUGGUGAGGUAAAGGCUCACCAAGGCGACGAUCUGUAGCGGGUCUGAGAGGAUGAUCCGCCACACUGGAACUGAGACACGGUCCAGACUCCUACGGGAGGCAGCAGUGGGGAAUUUUGGACAAUGGGCGCAAGCCUGAUCCAGCCAUGCCGCGUGAGUGAAGAAGGCCUUCGGGUUGUAAAGCUCUUUCGGCCGGGAAGAAAUCGCACAGGUUAAUACCCUGUGUGGAUGACGGUACCGGAAUAAGAAGCACCGGCUAACUACGUG
Molecule: ribosomal RNA, 484 nt
Filed under: uncultured bacterium
Lineage: Bacteria
Description: bacterial SSU rRNA
Rfam family: Bacterial small subunit ribosomal RNA
Source: RNAcentral